CCCACACCCCCUCUGCCCUCCUUCUUUUCUGUUCUUGGUCAAAAAUCAGCAGAGAGGAGCAGGACAGCCCAGCAGAGAUCCCAACACAGACGUCAUCACAUCAAAGCCACCCGCCAAGGCCUGCCUCCCGCCGAUUCCAAAUGCAUCGACAUAAUGGACCCGUCUCCCCAGGACAAACCUCCAAGGACUCAGGAAUAACUUUCCAGCCUCGGUGGAUCUUUACUUUGAGUUGCUGCCAGAAGCUGAAAACAGUAAAUGAAGCCUUGAAUCAGAAACACACUCUUGGGAUCCCUGGGUGGCGCAGCGGUUUGGCGCCUGCCUUUGGCCCAGGGCGCGGUCCUGGAGACCCGGGAUCGAAUCCCACGUCGGGCUCCCGGUGCAUGGAGCCUGCUUCUCCCUCUGCCUGUGUCUCUGCCUCUCUCUCUCUCUGU
Molecule: long non-coding RNA, 431 nt
Organism: Nyctereutes procyonoides (raccoon dog)
Lineage: Eukaryota; Metazoa; Chordata; Mammalia; Carnivora; Canidae
Exons: 3
Source: RefSeq, a predicted model, not a curated record